UUUCCGUAGGUGAACCUGCGGAAGGAUCAUUAACAAAUCUGUGCAUGUUGCGUGCGUUUUGUUUGCACGUGACACCAUUUGUUCCGUGUGCAUGCUGUGCACAUUGCGACACAUUUCUGCGAGUCAUCUGAUUUUGGGUGUUUGAACGCGAUCAACUUUUAACAAUGGAUCUCUAGGCUCUUGCAUCGAUGGAGAACGCAGC
RNAcentral lists this unclassified non-coding RNA (202 nucleotides) under plant metagenome. Its description in RNAcentral is "partial contains small subunit ribosomal RNA, internal transcribed spacer 1, and 5.8S ribosomal RNA". The stretch from base 154 to 202 matches the Rfam family "5.8S ribosomal RNA", at positions 1 to 49 of the family's 154-position model. The record is from RNAcentral.